UGGGGGAUAACCUGGGGAAACCCGGGCUAAUACCGCAUACGUCCUACGGGAGAAAGGGGGCUCCGGCUCCCGCUAUCGGAUGAGCCUAUGUCGGAUUAGCUAGUUGGUGAGGUAACGGCUCACCGGGGCGACGAUCCGUAGCUGGUCUGAGAGGAUGAUCAGCCACAUCGGGACUGAGACACGGCCCGAACUCCUACGGGAGGCAGCAGUGGGGAAUAUUGGACAAUGGGCGCAAGCCUGAUCCACCCAUGCCGCGUGUGUGAAGAAGGCCCUCGGGUUGUAAAGCACUUUCACCGAGGAAGAACGCCUAAGCGGUUAAUACCCGCUAAGAAAGGACAUCACUCGCAGGAACAAGCACCGGCUAACUCCGUGCCAGCAGCNCGCGGUAAAUACGAGAGGGUGCGAGCGUUAAUCGGAAUUACGGGGCGAUAAAGCGCGCGUAGGUGGCUGUGAUAAGCAGGUUGUGAAAGCCCCGGGCUCAACUCUGGGAACGGCAUCCGGAACUGUCAAGCUAGAGUGCAGGAGAGGAAGGGUAGAAUCCCCGGUGUACCGGUGAAAUGCGUAGAGAUCGGGAGGAAUACCAGUGGCGAAGGCGGCCUUCUGGACUGACACUGACACUGAGGUGCGAAAGCGUGGGUAGCAAACAGGAUUAGAUACCCUGGUAGUCCACGCCGUAAACGAUGUCGACCAGCCGUUGGGUGCCUAGCGCACUUUGUGGCGAAGUUAACGCGAUAAGUCGACCGCCUGGGGAGUACGGCCGCAAGGUUAAAACUCAAAUGAAUUGACGGGGGCCCGCACAAGCGGUGGAGCAUGUGCUUUAAUUCGAUGCAACGCGAAGAACCUUACCUACUCUUGACAUCCUGCGAAUUCGGUAGAGAUACAUUAGUGCCUUCGGGAACGCAGAGACAGGGGCUGCAUGGCUGUCGUCAGCUCGUGUCGUCAAAUGUUGGAUUAAGUUCCCGUAAACCACCGCAANCCCUUGUCCUUAUUUGCCAGCGGGUAAUGGCGGGAACUCUAAGGAGACUGCCGGUGACAAACCGGAGGAAGGUGGGGACGACGUCAAGUCAUCAUGGCCCUUACGAGUAGGGCUACACACGUGCUACAAUGGUCGGUACAAAGGGUUGCGAGCUCGCGAGAGUCAGCCAAUCCCGAAAAGCCGAUCUCAGUCCGGAUCGGAGUCUGCAACUCGACUCCGUGAAGUCGGAAUCGCUUGUAAUCG
RNAcentral lists this ribosomal RNA (1219 nucleotides) under Halomonas sp. B1. Its description in RNAcentral is "bacterial SSU rRNA". It matches the Rfam family "Bacterial small subunit ribosomal RNA", at positions 137 to 1344 of the family's 1533-position model. Lineage: Bacteria; Pseudomonadati; Pseudomonadota; Gammaproteobacteria; Oceanospirillales; Halomonadaceae. The record is from RNAcentral.